Molecule: long non-coding RNA, 350 nt
Filed under: Elaeis guineensis (African oil palm)
Lineage: Eukaryota; Viridiplantae; Streptophyta; Magnoliopsida; Arecales; Arecaceae
Description: long non-coding RNA (EGUI_LNC036278)
Source: RNAcentral
CCACGUAGAUGCAAUUCGAAUUUCAACCUUUUUCAAAAUCUGUAUGAUAGGUAUGGAAAUUCACCUCGAAUCAAAAUGAGAAUUAUAAUCUCUACUACACUUGUAAUUUUAACCGCAACUAGAGCCAGCUCGAAUUUUGCCUUACCUUCAGCUUGGCUCGUGCCAUGCUUAAAGCAUAACACAGGCUAAGUAUUUACCUGAGCUAUUACUCUAAUCAAGUUUUGUAGUUAUAGCCAGGGGUCGAGUAUACGUUAAAGAUUUUGAUUCAUAUAUUUAAAAGCAUGAUUCAUAUUUAACAAAAGAAGAAGAUUACAUUUAUUCUUAUAAAGAUUCUAUUACAAGACUAGGAG